Fukomys damarensis (Damara mole-rat) is the source of this 110-nucleotide ribosomal RNA. The record is from Ensembl. Lineage: Eukaryota; Metazoa; Chordata; Mammalia; Rodentia; Bathyergidae.
GUCUAUUGCCAUACCACCCUGAACACGCCUGAUCUCAUCUGAUCUUGGAAGCUUAGCAGAGUUGGGCCUGGUUAGUACUUGGAUGGGGAGACAGCAUGGUACUGCAGGCC